GAUGAACGCUAGCUACAGGCUUAACACAUGCAAGUCGCGGGGCAGCAUGGGGGUUGCUUGCACUCCCCGAUGGCGACCGGCGCACGGGUGAGUAACGCGUAUCCAACCUGCCCUUCACCACGGGAUAACCCGGCGAAAGUCGGACUAAUACCGUAUGUUGUCCAUUGACGGCAUCCGAUUUGGACGAAAGGCUUGGCGGUGAGGGAUGGGGAUGCGUCCGAUUAGCCAGACGGCGGGGUAACGGCCCACCGUGGCUACGAUCGGUAGGGGUUCUGAGAGGAAGGUCCCCCACACUGGAACUGAGACACGGUCCAGAAUCCUACGGGAGGCAGCAGUGAGGAAUAUUGGUCAAUGGGCGUAAGCCUGAACCAGCCAAGUAGCGUGCAGGAUGACGGCCCUAUGGGUUGUAAACUGCUUUUAUGCGGGGAUAAAGUGGCCCACGUGUGGGCUUUUGCAGGUACCGAAUGAAUAAGGACCGGCUAAUUCCGUG
RNAcentral lists this ribosomal RNA (490 nucleotides) under uncultured bacterium. RNAcentral's name for it is "partial 16S ribosomal RNA". It matches the Rfam family "Bacterial small subunit ribosomal RNA", at positions 28 to 507 of the family's 1533-position model. The record is from RNAcentral.